RNAcentral lists this ribosomal RNA (221 nucleotides) under Neisseria meningitidis. Its description in RNAcentral is "partial 23S ribosomal RNA". It matches the Rfam family "Bacterial large subunit ribosomal RNA", at positions 1496 to 1712 of the family's 2925-position model. The record is from RNAcentral. Lineage: Bacteria; Pseudomonadati; Pseudomonadota; Betaproteobacteria; Neisseriales; Neisseriaceae.
UGUUGGAAUAGCUUGUUUAAGCCGGUAGGUGGAAGACUUAGGCAAAUCCGGGUCUUCUUAACACCGAGAAGUGAUGACGAGUGUCUACGGACAUGAAGUAACUAAUACCACGCUUCCAGGAAAAGCCACUAAGCUUCAGUUUGAAUUGAACCGUACCGCAAACCGACACAGGUGGGCAGGAUGAGAAUUCUAAGGCGCUUGAGAGAACUCAGGAGAAGGAA